Molecule: ribosomal RNA, 525 nt
Filed under: Vibrio coralliilyticus
Lineage: Bacteria; Pseudomonadati; Pseudomonadota; Gammaproteobacteria; Vibrionales; Vibrionaceae
Description: bacterial SSU rRNA
Rfam family: Bacterial small subunit ribosomal RNA
Source: RNAcentral
UCAUUUGACGUUAGCUGCAGAAGAAGCACCGGCUAACUCCGUGCCAGCAGCCGCGGUAAUACGGAGGGUGCGAGCGUUAAUCGGAAUUACUGGGCGUAAAGCGCAUGCAGGUGGUUUGUUAAGUCAGAUGUGAAAGCCCGGGGCUCAACCUCGGAAUUGCAUUUGAAACUGGCAGACUAGAGUACUGUAGAGGGGGGUAGAAUUUCAGGUGUAGCGGUGAAAUGCGUAGAGAUCUGAAGGAAUACCGGUGGCGAAGGCGGCCCCCUGGACAGAUACUGACACUCAGAUGCGAAAGCGUGGGGAGCAAACAGGAUUAGAUACCCUGGUAGUCCACGCCGUAAACGAUGUCUACUUGGAGGUUGUGGCCUUGAGCCGUGGCUUUCGGAGCUAACGCGUUAAGUAGACCGCCUGGGGAGUACGGUCGCAAGAUUAAAACUCAAAUGAAUUGACGGGGGCCCGCACAAGCGGUGGAGCAUGUGGUUUAAUUCGAUGCAACGCGAAGAACCUUACCUACUCUUGACAUCC